Molecule: ribosomal RNA, 346 nt
Filed under: Enterococcus faecium
Lineage: Bacteria; Bacillati; Bacillota; Bacilli; Lactobacillales; Enterococcaceae
Description: partial 23S ribosomal RNA
Rfam family: Bacterial large subunit ribosomal RNA
Source: RNAcentral
GUGGACUGGUUACGAGUGAGAAUGUUGGCAUCAGUAGCGAGAUGUGGGUGAGAAUCCCACAGGCCGAAAACCUAAGGUUUCCUCAGGAAGGUUCGUCCGCUGAGGGUUAGUCGGGACCUAAGCCGAGGCCGAAAGGCGUAGGUGAUGGAUAACUGGUUGAUAUUCCAGUACCACUACCAUCGUUAUUAUCGAUGGCGUGACGCAGGAGGAUAGUGUGUGCUAGCUAUUGGAUGCUAGUCUAAGCGUUUAGGCAGUGAGAGUAGGCAAAUCCGCUCUCAUAAUGCUGAGGCGUGAUGGGGAAGGUUCUACGGAACCGAAGUACAUGAUUCCACGCUGCCAAGAAAAG